AGAGUUUGAUCCUGGCUCAGGAUGAACGCUGGCGGCGUGCUUCAUACAUGCAAGUCGAACGAGAAUUUGGAGCUUGCUCCAAAGGAAAGUGGCGGACGGGUGAGUAAUACAUAGGGAAUCUGCCCUUAGCUGGGGGACAACAGUUGGAAACGACUGCUAAUACCGCAUAUGAGCUAACCUGAAAUGGUUAUCUUGAAAACUCCGGUGGCUAAGGAUGAGCCUGUGCCUGAUUAGCUUGUUGGCGGGGUAAUGGCCCACCAAGGCGACGAUCAGUAGCUGGUUUGAGAGGAUGAUCAGCCACAAUGGGACUGAGACACGGCCCAUACUCCUACGGGAGGCAGCAGUAGGGAAUUUUGCGCAAUGGGCGAAAGCCUGACGCAGCAACGCCGCGUGUGUGAUGAAGCCCCUAGGGGUGUAAAACACUGUCAGUAGGGACGAAUUUUGACGGUACCUACAGAGGAAGCACCGGCUAACUCCGUGCCAGCCGCCGC
RNAcentral lists this ribosomal RNA (491 nucleotides) under uncultured bacterium. RNAcentral's name for it is "bacterial SSU rRNA". It matches the Rfam family "Bacterial small subunit ribosomal RNA", at positions 8 to 518 of the family's 1533-position model. The record is from RNAcentral.